RNAcentral lists this ribosomal RNA (294 nucleotides) under Ignavibacteria bacterium. Its description in RNAcentral is "partial 23S ribosomal RNA". It matches the Rfam family "Bacterial large subunit ribosomal RNA", at positions 2650 to 2925 of the family's 2925-position model. Lineage: Bacteria; Pseudomonadati; Ignavibacteriota; Ignavibacteria. The record is from RNAcentral.
GGCGCAGGAAACUUGAGAAGGCUCGCUCCUAGUACGAGAGGACCAGAGUGAACGGUUCAAUGGUGUACCAGUUGUCACGCCAGUGGCACCGCUGGGUAGCUAUAACCGGUUGAGAUAAGCGCUGAAAGCAUCUAAGCGCGAAACUCGCUUCAAGAUUAGGUUUCCAUGUUGGUAGCAAUACCGACGAGAGGUUCCAGAAAGAUUAUCUGGUUGAUAGGCUGCAGGUGUAAGCACAGUGAUGUGUUCAGCUGAGCAGUACUAAUAAACCGACAACUUGCCAUUAAUUUUUUAUUA